GACGAACGCUGGCGGCGUGCUUAACACAUGCAAGUCGAACGGAAAGGCCCUGCUUUUGUGGGGUGCUCGAGUGGCGAACGGGUGAGUAACACGUGAGUAACCUGCCCUUGACUUUGGGAUAACUUCAGGAAACUGGGGCUAAUACCGGAUAGGAGCUCCUGCUGCCUGGUGGGGGUUGGAAAGUUUCGGCGGUUGGGGAUGGACUCGCGGCUUAUCAGCUUGUUGGUGGGGUAGUGGCUUACCCAGGCUUUGACGGGUAGCCGGCCUGAGAGGGUGACCGGCCACAUUGGGACUGAGAUACGGCCCAGACUGCUACGGGAGGCAGCAGUGGGGAAUAGUGCACAAGGGGCGGAAGCCUGAUGCAGCAACGCCGCGUGCGGGAUGACGGCCUUCGGGUUGUAAACCGCUUUCGCCUGUGACGAAGCGUGAGUGACGGUAAUGGGAAAAGAAGCACCGGCUAACUACGUG
RNAcentral lists this ribosomal RNA (468 nucleotides) under uncultured bacterium. RNAcentral describes it as "partial 16S ribosomal RNA". It matches the Rfam family "Bacterial small subunit ribosomal RNA", at positions 28 to 507 of the family's 1533-position model. The record is from RNAcentral.